AUUGAACGCUGGCGGCAGGCUUAACACAUGCAAGUCGAGCGGGGUGAUGGUGCUUGCACUAUCACUUAGCGGCGGACGGGUGAGUAAUGCUUAGGAAUCUGCCUAUUAGUGGGGGACAACAUCUCGAAAGGGAUGCUAAUACCGCAUACGUCCUACGGGAGAAAGCCGGGGAUCACUUGUGACCUUGCGCUAAUAGAUGAGCCUAAGUCGGAUUAGCUAGUUGGUGGGGUAAAGGCCUACCGAGGCGACGAUAUGUAGCGGGUCUGAGAGGAUGAUCCGCCACACUGGGACUGAGACACGGCCCUGACUCCUCCGGGAGGCAGCAGUGGGGAAUAUUGGACAAUGGGGGGAACCCUGAUCCAGCCAUGCCGCGUGUGUGAAGAAGGCCUUAUGGUUGUAAAGCACUUUAAGCGAGGAGGAGGCUCUUUUGGUUAAUACCCAAGAUGAGUGGACGUUACUCGCAGAAUAAGCACCGGCUAACUCUGUGCCAGCCGCCGCGGUAA
Molecule: ribosomal RNA, 503 nt
Filed under: uncultured bacterium
Lineage: Bacteria
Description: partial 16S ribosomal RNA
Rfam family: Bacterial small subunit ribosomal RNA
Source: RNAcentral